This is an RNA transcript of Aphis gossypii (cotton aphid), 1382 nucleotides long. RefSeq lists it as uncharacterized. The record is from RefSeq and is a predicted model, not a curated record. The transcript has 4 exons. NCBI's taxonomy places the organism in Eukaryota, Metazoa, Arthropoda, Insecta, Hemiptera, Aphididae.
ACAUCUGCAAAAUAAUUCAAUAAUAUAAAUACAAUUCUUUUAAAUAUUACAAUUAAAUUAAUAACCAAUAUAAUACACACAAUACAAUACAUAGUAUAUAUUAUAUAUAAUAUAUACAAUCAAAUAAAUCAUCUAAAUAGGUAUUAAAAUUAAAUUAGUAAUCACUAAUCAAUGUAAUAAAUACAAUACAAAUAUACAAAUAUACAAUAUAUUAUAUUAUAUAUAAAAUAAGACAAAUUUAAUUUAAUAACAAUUUUUAUCAUGUACCUAUAUACCUGUUGAAUUAUUUUUAUGAAUAUUAUACAGUUAAAAGUUGUAAAAUAUUAUUUCUUAUAAUGUAAUGAUACCAAACUGAUGAAAUGUGAACGAUCAAUAUUUUUAGCUUCAUAUUCUUUUAAUUUUUUCGGGAAGAUUUUUUUUUACCCUUGUGGAAUCGAUAUGUUGGUUUUAGACGACCUGCACUGGAGAAGUCGAUACUGGCGGAAUCAAUAUACCUUAUCCCCUAGUAUAAAAAGGUCUGGCGGAAUCGAUGAAAUCAUGGUAAUAACAUACACUCUACAGUCUACGAUGUCCGACAAGGUCCACAUUAAGUACGACAUGGUGUCCAGGGUGAGAAAAGAAUGGCCCAGAUUUAGUUUUGAAUUGUGUAACGGUCCGAAUGUAUUCUUAUUACUGGGGAACCAAUUAAAAUUUCUAAAGCUACUGAAGUUAUUGGUCAAAAAGUUGAAGAAGUAGCACAUUAUACUUGGCGCAUCCUGAUAAAUACCAGCAACACAUACAAAGAGAUCCAGCCACUACUGCAGUCACAACAGCUUUAAAGGAGUAUAAACUAUCAAAUAGAAGAAAAACAGCCAAGAAAUUCAAGGACAACAACAAAAUUCAGCAAAACAGAAAUUGAAGAAGUGAAACAAUGUGUGACACUCAACAAAACCACAAGCCAUAAAAAAAGGAAACCCAACAUAGACAGAAUGGAAAAGAGAUUAAGGCGAUAAGCAAAAUAAUAUUUUGUUUUAAUGCUACAUAAUUCAUAAAAUUACCAAGCUCUAACAAACUAAUAAUAUAAUUAAUACAUAAAAUGUACCAGUAAAAUUUUGAAAAAAUCAAAAUGAUAUUUCCUAAUAUAAUAAGGUGUAGAAUCCAACAAAUUGAAUUUUUAUAUAGCUAAUAAAUAACUCAGUUUUCAUUUUGAACAUCUGAAACUAAAACCACAAGAAUCAUGUUUAAAUUUAGAGUAUAAAUAAUAUUAUUUAUUAAUUAAAAUGUUUAUUUUAAAUUAAAAAAAAUUAUAAUCGUAUUUUAACUAUUAACUUUCAUGUAAAUAUACAAUUUUCAAUUUCAUAUUACCAAUUAAAAACUAAUUUUACAUCCAAAAUCUUUGAAAC